RNAcentral lists this ribosomal RNA (496 nucleotides) under uncultured bacterium. Its description in RNAcentral is "partial 16S ribosomal RNA". It matches the Rfam family "Bacterial small subunit ribosomal RNA", at positions 28 to 506 of the family's 1533-position model. The record is from RNAcentral.
GAUGAACGCUGGCGGCGUGCCUAAUACAUGCAAGUCGAGCGAACGGACGAGAAGCUUGCUUCUCUGCUGUUAGCGGCGGACGGGUGAGUAACACGUGGAUAACCUACCUAUAAGACUGGGAUAACUUCGGGAAACCGGAGCUAAUACCGGAUAAUAUUUUGAACCGCAUGGUUCAACAGUGAAAGACGGUCUUGCUGUCACUUAUAGAUGGAUCCGGGCUGCUUUAGCUAGUUGGUAAGGUAACGGCUUACCAAGGCAACGCUGCAUAGCCGACCUGAGAGGGUGAUCGGCAACCCGGGACUGGAGACCGGUUCCGGAUUCCAAGGGAGGGCAGCGGUGGGGAAUUUGCCGCAAUGGGCGAAACCCUGACGAGGCAAGGCGGGGUGAGGAAUGAAGGUCUCCGGAUCGUAAACCCCUGUUAUUGGGGGAGAACGUAUGUGUAAGUUACGGUGCUCAUCUGAAGGGUACCAAAGAAGAAGGCCACGGCUAACUACGU